Molecule: ribosomal RNA, 307 nt
Filed under: uncultured eukaryote
Lineage: Eukaryota
Description: partial 18S ribosomal RNA
Rfam family: Eukaryotic small subunit ribosomal RNA
Source: RNAcentral
CCCUUAGACGUUCUGGGCCGCACGCGCGCUACACUGACAAAGGCAACGAGCUUUCCUUUACCGAAAGGUACGGGUAAUCUUUUGAAACUUCGUCGUGCUGGGGAUAGAUCCUUGCAAUUUUUGAUCUUAAACGAGGAAUGCCUAGUAAGCGCAAGUCAUCAACUUGCGUUGAUUACGUCCCUGCCCUUUGUACACACCGCCCGUCGCUACUACCGAUUGAAUGGUUUAGUGAGGCCUUCGGAUCCGCGACUCGUUUGUGGAGAAGUUGGACAAACUCAGUCAUUUAGAGGAAGUAAAAGUCGUAACA